UACAGGAGUCCCAGCGUUGUUCGGAUUCAUUGGGCGUAAAGGGUGUGUAGGUGGCGCCGUAAGUCGGGUGUGGAAAUCUCGGGGCGUUAACUCCGAAACUGCAUUCGAUACUGCGGUGCUUGAGGACUGGGAGAGGAGACUGGAAUUCAUGGUGUAGCAGUGAAAAUUGCGUAGAGAUCAUGAGGAAGACCAGUGGCGAAGGCGGGUCUCUGGACAGUUCCUGACACUGAGACACGAAGGCCAGGGGAGCAAAACGGG
RNAcentral lists this ribosomal RNA (258 nucleotides) under uncultured bacterium. RNAcentral's name for it is "partial 16S ribosomal RNA". It matches the Rfam family "Bacterial small subunit ribosomal RNA", at positions 524 to 777 of the family's 1533-position model. The record is from RNAcentral.